RNAcentral lists this transfer RNA (90 nucleotides) under Exophiala dermatitidis. Its description in RNAcentral is "tRNA-Ser". It matches the Rfam family "tRNA". Rfam says of the family: Transfer RNA (tRNA) molecules are approximately 80 nucleotides in length. Their secondary structure includes four short double-helical elements and three loops (D, anti-codon, and T loops). Lineage: Eukaryota; Fungi; Ascomycota; Eurotiomycetes; Chaetothyriales; Herpotrichiellaceae. RNAcentral also lists the same sequence under 1 other name. The record is from RNAcentral.
GACACUUUGGCGGAGUGGUUAACGCGAUGCCCUGCUAUAGUAGUUGAGGCAUUUCCUUCGGGAGCGCAGGUUCGAAUCCUGCAGGUGUCG